GUCCGUGUGGUGGUACUGGAAGUACGCAACAGUCUUAAACACUGUCAGGCGAAAGCCUUCUGGGUUCGAAUCCCAGUACGGAUA
This 84-nucleotide transfer RNA is filed under the name Pseudomonas phage phiK7A1. It matches the Rfam family "tRNA". From Rfam's summary of the family: Transfer RNA (tRNA) molecules are approximately 80 nucleotides in length. Their secondary structure includes four short double-helical elements and three loops (D, anti-codon, and T loops). The record is from Rfam by way of RNAcentral. Lineage: Duplodnaviria; Heunggongvirae; Uroviricota; Caudoviricetes; Vandenendeviridae.